This 497-nucleotide ribosomal RNA is filed under the name uncultured bacterium. RNAcentral's name for it is "partial 16S ribosomal RNA". It matches the Rfam family "Bacterial small subunit ribosomal RNA", at positions 28 to 507 of the family's 1533-position model. The record is from RNAcentral.
GAUGAACGCUGGCGGCGUGCCUAAUACAUGCAAGUCGAGCGAACAGACGAGGAGCUUGCUCCUCUGACGUUAGCGGCGGACGGGUGAGUAACACGUGGAUAACCUACCUAUAAGACUGGGAUAACUUCGGGAAACCGGAGCUAAUACCGGAUAAUAUAUUGAACCGCAUGGUUCAAUAGUGAAAGACGGUUUUGCUGUCACUUAUAGAUGGAUCCGCGCCGCAUUAGCUAGUUGGUAAGGUAACGGCUUACCAAGGCAACGAUGCGUAGCCGACCUGAGAGGGUGAUCGGCCACACUAGAACUGAGACACGGUCCAGACGCCUACGGGAGGCAGCAGUAGGGAAUCUUCCGCAAUGGGCGAAAGCCUGACGGAGCAACGCCGAGUGAGUGAUGAAGGUCUUCGGAUCGUAAAACUCUGUUAUUAGGGAAGAACAAAUGUGUAAGUAACUAUGCACGUCUUGACGGUACCUAAUCAGAAAGCCACGGCUAACUACGUG